UAAUAUGGAGAGUUUGAUCCUGGCUCAGGAUGAACGCUGGCGGCGUGCCUAAUACAUGCAAGUCGAGCGAACUGAAGA
RNAcentral lists this ribosomal RNA (78 nucleotides) under Staphylococcus felis. Its description in RNAcentral is "partial 16S ribosomal RNA". It matches the Rfam family "Bacterial small subunit ribosomal RNA", at positions 1 to 77 of the family's 1533-position model. Lineage: Bacteria; Bacillati; Bacillota; Bacilli; Caryophanales; Staphylococcaceae. The record is from RNAcentral.